RNAcentral lists this ribosomal RNA (410 nucleotides) under uncultured bacterium. RNAcentral describes it as "bacterial SSU rRNA". It matches the Rfam family "Bacterial small subunit ribosomal RNA", at positions 370 to 772 of the family's 1533-position model. The record is from RNAcentral.
AAUGGGCGCAAGCCUGAUCCAGCCAUGCCGCGUGAGUGAAGAAGGCCUUCGGGUUGUAAAGCUCUUUCGGUUGGGAAGAAAUUGCUUGGGUUAAUACCCUGAGUAGAUGACGGUACCAGCAUAAGAAGCACCGGCUAACUACGUGCCAGCAGCCGCGGUAAUACGUAGGGUGCGAGCGUUAAUCGGAAUUACUGGGCGUAAAGCGUGCGCAGGCGGUUUUGUAAGUCAGAUGUGAAAUCCCCGGGCUCAACCUGGGAACUGCAUUUGAGACUGCAAGGCUAGAGUGUGGCAGAGGGGGGUAGAAUUCCACGUGUAGCAGUGAAAUGCGUAGAGAUGUGGAGGAAUACCGAUGGCGAAGGCAGCCCCCUGGGUCACUACUGACGCUCAUGCACGAAAGCGUGGGGAGCAAA